RNAcentral lists this ribosomal RNA (623 nucleotides) under uncultured Bacilli bacterium. RNAcentral's name for it is "bacterial SSU rRNA". It matches the Rfam family "Bacterial small subunit ribosomal RNA", at positions 75 to 684 of the family's 1533-position model. The record is from RNAcentral. Lineage: Bacteria; Bacillati; Bacillota; Bacilli.
GGAGCUUGCACCGAGCGGAUGAGUUGCGAACGGGUGAGUAACGCGUAGGUAACCUGCCUCUUAGCGGGGGAUAACUAUUGGAAACGAUAGCUAAUACCGCAUAAAAGUCGAUAUCGCAUGAUAUUGAUUUGAAAGGUGCAAUUGCAUCACUAAGAGAUGGACCUGCGUUGUAUUAGCUAGUUGGUGAGGUAACGGCUCACCAAGGCGACGAUACAUAGCCGACCUGAGAGGGUGAUCGGCCACACUGGGACUGAGACACGGCCCAGACUCCUACGGGAGGCAGCAGUAGGGAAUCUUCGGCAAUGGGGGCAACCCUGACCGAGCAACGCCGCGUGAGUGAAGAAGGUUUUCGGAUCGUAAAGCUCUGUUGUAAGAGAAGAACGAGUGUGAGAGUGGAAAGUUCACACUGUGACGGUAACUUACCAGAAAGGGACGGCUAACUACGUGCCAGCAGCCGCGGUAAUACGUAGGUCCCGAGCGUUAUCCGGAUUUAUUGGGCGUAAAGCGAGCGCAGGCGGUUAGAUAAGUCUGAAGUUAAAGGCUGUGGCUUAACCAUAGUACGCUUUGGAAACUGUUUAACUUGAGUGCAGAAGGGGAGAGUGGAAUUCCAUGUGUAGCGGUGA